RNAcentral lists this small RNA (199 nucleotides) under Luteipulveratus sp. RNAcentral's name for it is "c-di-AMP sequence". The stretch from base 35 to 199 matches the Rfam family "c-di-AMP riboswitch aptamer (ydaO/yuaA leader)". From Rfam's summary of the family: This family represents a conserved RNA structure found upstream of the ydaO and yuaA genes in Bacillus subtilis and related genes in other bacteria. The ydaO/yuaA element is thought to act as a genetic "off" switch for the ydaO and yuaA genes in its native state. Lineage: Bacteria; Bacillati; Actinomycetota; Actinomycetes; Micrococcales; Dermacoccaceae. The record is from RNAcentral.
GUGCUGGCACCGCCGAGUCCUGUCAGUCGGCGCGGGUGUGACAGUGCCGCAGGCAGGAGCGGGGGAACCAUCAACGGGCGUCGCGAGACGUCCUGGGGUGAAGCCAGCGCACGUGCUCGUCGGGGAUGCACGUUCGGUGGCCGGGUGAUCUCCCACCCGAACCCGACAGCUCACCUCGUAGGCGUAGGAGAGGUUCAUU